Molecule: small RNA, 2674 nt
Filed under: Pongo abelii (Sumatran orangutan)
Lineage: Eukaryota; Metazoa; Chordata; Mammalia; Primates; Hominidae
Description: retained intron
Source: RNAcentral
UUUGUUGUUCCUUAAACAGUAACUUUCUACUUUUCCAUUGUUUCCCCUGAAACAAUACUGUUAUUUUAAAUGUUAAAUCAUAGUUAAUAUCAAACCUUGUUAUUUUUUGAAAAUAAUCUUUUCAAAUCACAAAGACAAUUUAGCAACAUUACAAAACAUUUGGAAAUGAGAAGAAGGGAAAACAGUAGUCUUAAUUCCUCUACUUUUAAAAACUACCAUUCAUCUGGUAUAAUGGUUUUAGUUUCUAUAGUCUUUUAAGAAUUUUUUUAUUGUCAUAACCAUAUGUACAUACAAUUUUGAAUCCUGCCUUUUUCACUUAGCAUUAUAUCAUAAGCAUUUUUCCAAGUUAUUAUAGUCGUUAUAACCAUCGUUUUUAAUUGGCUGCAUUAUAUUCUUUUGAAUAGCUUAGUGGUGAAGAAAACAGACUGUGGAGCCAGACUGCCUGGGUUCGUAUCCCAGCUCUACCACUUACUGGCUCUAUGAUCUUGGUUAAGUUAUUUAACCUCUCUGUGUCUCAGUUUUCCCAUUCUAUAAAAUGCAAAUAAUGAUAUGCUCUACCUCAUAGGGUUAUAAGGAUUAAAUGUGUUAGCAUAUGUAAAGUACUUAGUGUGCCUGACAUAUAGUAAAUGCUCUAGAUCUUGUCAAGAAUUAUUGUCAUCAUUACUGAGUGCACGUAUCAAAAAUUAUUUAAGUAUGUCCUGUUUGGGGACUUUUAGGUUGCUUCCAUUUCUUGUCCUUUUAAAACCUUGUUAUGAGUAACAAAGUGUACCUUUUAAGAUAUUCUUCAGAAUUAUUUUUCAUAGGCUAUUUUACUCUACAGUUUUUUAAACUUUUAAAUUGGCUUGUGCUCCACUUGAAGGUAUUUGUACCGCAUCUACACCUUUUGUAUUAUUGGGAGAUGUUUUGGAUUGUCUUCCUUUGGAUCAGUGUGACACAAUAUUCACUUUUGUGGAAAAAAAUGUUGCUACUUGGAAAUCAAAUACAUUCUAUUCUGCUGGGAAAAAUUACUUACUACGUAUGUGCAAUGAUCUCCUAAGAAGAUUGUCUAAAUCCCAGAAUACAGUCUUCUGUGGACGGAUUCAGCUCUUUUUGGCCAGACUUUUCCCUCUGUCUGAGAAAUCAGGUCUUAACUUGCAGAGUCAGUUUAAUCUGGAAAAUGUCACUGUUUUCAAUACCAAUGAGCAGGAAAGCACCCUGGGUCAGAAGCACACUGAAGAUAGAGAAGAAGGAAUGGAUGUAGAAGAAGGCGAAAUGGGAGAUGAGGAAGCUCCAACAACGUGCUCUAUUCCAAUUGAUUACAACCUGUAUAGAAAAUUCUGGUCACUUCAGGAUUACUUCAGGAACCCUGUGCAAUGCUAUGAGAAGAUUUCAUGGAAAACUUUUCUCAAGUAUUCUGAAGAAGUUUUAGCUGUUUUUAAGAGUUAUAAAUUAGAUGAUACUCAGGCCUCAAGAAAAAAGAUGGAAGAAUUGAAAACAGGAGGAGAGCAUGUAUAUUUUGCAAAAUUUUUAACAAGUGAAAAGCUGAUGGAUUUACAACUGAGUGACAGUAACUUUCGUCGACACAUCCUGUUGCAGUAUCUCAUUUUAUUCCAAUAUCUCAAGGGGCAGGUCAAAUUCAAAAGUUCAAACUAUGUUUUAACUGAUGAACAAUCACUUUGGAUUGAAGAUACUACAAAAUCAGUUUAUCAACUACUAUCUGAAAACCCCCCCGAUGGAGAAAGAUUUUCAAAGAUGGUAGAGCAUAUAUUAAACACUGAAGAAAACUGGAACUCGUGGAAAAAUGAAGGUUGCCCAAGUUUUGUGAAACAUCAGAUACCAAACCUACGAGAAUAAUUCGGAAGAGAACAGCACCCGAGGACUUCCUAGGGAAAGGACCCAGCAAAAAAAUUCUGAUGGGAAAUGAGGAGUUAACAAGGCUUUGGAAUCUUUGUCCUGAUAAUAUGGAAGCCUGUAAAUCAGAGACAAGGGAAUACAUGCCCACUUUGGAGGAAUUCUUUGAAGAAGCCAUUGAACAGGCAGACCCUGAAAAUAUGGUUGAAAAUGAAUAUAAGGCUGUGAACAAUUCAAAUUAUGGUUGGAGAGCCCUGAGACUAUUAGCACGGAGAAGCCCUCACUUCUUCCAGCCAACCAACCAGCAGUUUAAAAGUUUACCAGAAUAUCUUGAAAAUAUGGUAAUAAAGCUAGCCAAGGAAUUACCGCCUCCUUCUGAAGAAAUAAAAACAGGCGAGGAUGAAGAUGAGGAAGAUAAUGAUGCUUUACUGAAGGAAAAUGAAAGUCCUGAUGUUCGGCGAGACAAACCUGUAACAGGAGAACAAAUAGAGGUAUUUGCCAACAAGCUGGGUGAACAAUGGAAGAUUCUGGCUCCCUACUUGGAAAUGAAAGACUCAGAAAUUAGGCAGAUUGAGUGUGACAGUGAAGACAUGAAGAUGAGAGCUAAGCAGCUCCUGGUUGCCUGGCAAGAUCAAGAGGGAGUUCAUGCAACACCUGAGAAUCUGAUUAAUGCACUGAAUAAGUCUGGAUUAAGUGACCUUGCAGAAAGUCUAACUAAUGACAAUGAGACAAAUAGUUAGCUUCUUUUUUUUUCUUUUUAUUAAAACUGUGAUAGAUUUUGUUACCAAGCAGCAUUUGAUAAGAGGUCCACUGGUUUUGGUAAACAAUAAACAUUUUUAUAACA